ACUAGGAUCUGCUAACACAUAAGCAAUUGGGCCCAUACCCCAAAAAUGAUAAUGUAUAUCUCCUAGUA
This 68-nucleotide transfer RNA is filed under the name Chamaeleo chamaeleon (common chameleon). Its description in RNAcentral is "tRNA-Met". Lineage: Eukaryota; Metazoa; Chordata; Lepidosauria; Squamata; Chamaeleonidae. RNAcentral also lists the same sequence under 2 other names. The record is from RNAcentral.